GGGAAAUGGGCAUCCUGACUGAUCNGAGGUCACCUNGGAAAGAUUGAUUUGCGUUCGGCAAGCGCCGGCCGGGCCUACAGAGCGGGUGACAAAGCCCCAUACGCUCGAGGAUCGGACGCGGUGCCGCCGCUGCCUUUGGGGCCCGUCCCCCCCGGAGAGGGGACGACGACCCAACACACAAGCCGUGCUUGAUGGGCAGCAAUGACGCUCGGACAGGCAUGCCCCCCGGAAUACCAGGGGGCGCAAUGUGCGUUCAAAGACUCGAUGAUUCACGGAAUUCUGCAAUUCACACUAGUUAUCGCAUUUCGCUGCGUUCUUCAUCGAUGCCGGAACCAAGAGAUCCAUUGUUGAAAGUUUUAACUGAUUGCGAUACAAUCAACUCAGACUUCACUAGAUCAGACAGAGUUCGUGGUGUCUCCGGCGGGCGCGGG
Molecule: unclassified non-coding RNA, 431 nt
Filed under: Aspergillus flavus
Lineage: Eukaryota; Fungi; Ascomycota; Eurotiomycetes; Eurotiales; Aspergillaceae
Description: sequence contains ITS1, 5.8S rRNA gene and ITS2
Source: RNAcentral